This 389-nucleotide ribosomal RNA is filed under the name Bacillus sp. (in: firmicutes). RNAcentral describes it as "bacterial SSU rRNA". It matches the Rfam family "Bacterial small subunit ribosomal RNA", at positions 565 to 952 of the family's 1533-position model. Lineage: Bacteria; Bacillati; Bacillota; Bacilli; Caryophanales; Bacillaceae. The record is from RNAcentral.
GCGCGCGCAGGCGGUUUCUUAAGUCUGAUGUGAAAGCCCCCGGCUCAACCGGGGAGGGUCAUUGGAAACUGGGGAACUUGAGUGCAGAAGAGGAGAGUGGAAUUCCACGUGUAGCGGUGAAAUGCGUAGAGAUGUGGAGGAACACCAGUGGCGAAGGCGACUCUCUGGUCUGUAACUGACGCUGAGGCGCGAAAGCGUGGGGAGCGAACAGGAUUAGAUACCCUGGUAGUCCACGCCGUACACGAUGAGUGCUAAGUGUUAGAGGGUUUCCGCCCUUUAGUGCUGCAGCAUACGCAUUAAGCACUNCCACUGGGGAGGACGGUCGCAAGACUGAAACUCAAAGGAAUUGACGGGGGCCCGCACAAGCGGUGGACCAUGUGGUUUAAUUC